CAUUAGCUCAGUCGGUAGAGCAUCUGACUUUUAAUCAGAGGGUCGAAGGUUCGAAUCCUUCAUG
RNAcentral lists this transfer RNA (64 nucleotides) under Bacilli bacterium. Its description in RNAcentral is "tRNA-Lys". It matches the Rfam family "tRNA", at positions 5 to 66 of the family's 71-position model. From Rfam's summary of the family: Transfer RNA (tRNA) molecules are approximately 80 nucleotides in length. Their secondary structure includes four short double-helical elements and three loops (D, anti-codon, and T loops). Lineage: Bacteria; Bacillati; Bacillota; Bacilli. The record is from RNAcentral.